RNAcentral lists this ribosomal RNA (399 nucleotides) under Escherichia coli. RNAcentral describes it as "bacterial SSU rRNA". It matches the Rfam family "Bacterial small subunit ribosomal RNA", at positions 390 to 781 of the family's 1533-position model. Lineage: Bacteria; Pseudomonadati; Pseudomonadota; Gammaproteobacteria; Enterobacterales; Enterobacteriaceae. The record is from RNAcentral.
AGCCAUGCCGCGUGUAUGAAGAAGGCCUUCGGGUUGUAAAGUACUUUCAGCGGGGAGGAAGGGAGUAAAGUUAAUACCUUUGCUCAUUGACGUUACCCGCAGAAGAAGCACCGGCUAACUCCGUGCCAGCAGCCGCGGUAAUACGGAGGGUGCAAGCGUUAAUCGGAAUUACUGGGCGUAAAGCGCACGCAGGCGGUUUGUUAAGUCAGAUGUGAAAUCCCCGGGCUCAACCUGGGAACUGCAUCUGAUACUGGCAAGCUUGAGUCUCGUAGAGGGGGGUAGAAUUCCAGGUGUAGCGGUGAAAUGCGUAGAGAUCUGGAGGAAUACCGGUGGCGAAGGCGGCCCCCUGGACGAAGACUGACGCUCAGGUGCGAAAGCGUGGGGAGCAAACAGGAUUAG